Molecule: long non-coding RNA, 2195 nt
Organism: Daphnia magna
Lineage: Eukaryota; Metazoa; Arthropoda; Branchiopoda; Diplostraca; Daphniidae
Exons: 5
Source: RefSeq, a predicted model, not a curated record
AACGAAGCGUGGUCUCUGUGGUUUUGAUUGUUGCAAACUCGAAACCGAAUUACAAGGUUUCGUUGCUGUUUAAAAUUCCCAGUCUCUUUGAAUAUUAAAUGGUUUUUUUCAGUGUCUAAAAAAGCCAUUCCUAUCAGUAAGGAAAUUUCUUAUGAAUUUACCACCAAUUGUUACCUUGUGCUGGCUCCACCUCAAAGCAAUAUACUACGGAACGCCGUUUGACCAACUUUUUUUAGUCAACUCUACUUCGAUGGUUGUCCGUUUAUUUUGCAAAUAAAUAGAUAACUUGCGUAGCCAUCUAGUGGUCAAAAUCGUCACUUGAAGGAGGGAUUUGAAUAGAUGACGCCUUUAACGGAGGAGGAGUCUACCUAACUAUUGUUGAUCGAUUGUUAGGUCGAUUUCGAUCGCCAUUGUACAGUUAAUGGCGUCGCGCAUUGGAAGUAUAUGCGUGUGUGAGUUUCGAUGGGCGUUGCACACCUUGGAGGCCUCGUUGGUUAUCAUAUUGAUAAUAAAGGUAUGUAAGGCAAUUAGUUAUGGAAUAAUUUCUCACUUUGUUCUUAGAUUCGCCAGUUGAAGAAACGUGUGCACAGUGUUUGUGCUUGGCUUCCUCGAGAGGAAAUUGCAGAACAAAGCCAUACAGUAUGGUGUCCUUCAACAAUGUCCAACCAUGGAAUGAGUCACAUGUGACUGAGACAAACAAAUGAUGCUUUUGCAUUUUGAAUAAUUAAAUUUUUAUAAUUGUAUUUCAUACAAGCUUGCGGCCUGCGUCAGCCAAUAGGGUCCAGUAAUCACAUGGUCCGCUUUGACUGUGUAGUGUAACCUACAUCCUUCCUAACUGAAAAUGUUUGGCUAUGUUAUAGCUUCAACAGUAUGAACAAUUUUGUUAAUUUAUUUUCAUUUUUAUUGUUUUGGUUUUCUUUUCAGGUUUGGAACAAAUUGUUGUGUGGAGGUCAAGCUUCAAUUUGGGAUGUGAUUUGUCAACUGUUGGUUGAGAUGGCAAAAGAGAAUGGAUUGGAUCAAAAUUUUGUUCCGCACUCAUCUUUGGAAUCCUGUUGUGCUCAUAGUUGUAGCGGAACAUUCUCGUCUUUUCAGGUCAAAAAUAACGUAUGAGAAAUCUAUUAUCCACAUGAAAUGUGGGGCCUGUUCUGGGUCACCGUUUUUUUCCCUGUGCGUCCGAAAUUUUCACCCUUCCAGAGAUUAUUGUCCGCGUCCGAGAAAGUUGUACGACGAUGAUACCUGAAUCGCUUGCUUAACUGACAAAAAAUUACGAGCUAAUGACCAACCCAGUGGAAUCCUGGAUACUUAAUCAUACGUGGUCAACACAAUUUCAAGUUCGACAUUUGUGGAUUGCAAGGAGGUUUCACCUUGGAGAAACGCGAGCAGCAGUGUAACGAUUACAUCCGGUGCACGGUCGGACGUGAUAAGAUCGUGCUAAUGCUGGUAAACGGCGGAGUCGAUUCCGCCGUUUGUGCUGCCUUUUUCUUAAAGCAUUUCUGUAGGGUGACGACUCGUCGCGAGUGCAGGCCAUCUAUAUCGAUAACGGUUUCCUGCGUAAAGACGAAUAGGAACAGGUCGCCACUAGUUAACAGCAACUCGGGCUCAAUCUUCGGGUAAUUUGAGAUACUUUUCUGGACCGUUCAGAAUCUUAUGAUUGGAAAAAAUUUCCAAAAUUCGUCGUCCUCUCACAUCUCGGAAUCUGUUUGUGUAUAGCGUUUUGGGUUUAAUCCUUACAUAAUUGAAUGACCACCUUUGUCGAAUGCUUUGUUUCGUUUACAUCGAUUAUGCUUCAAUCCUUUACAAGUGGGAAAAGGUUACGUUUAACCAACAAGAAGGUAUUGUGCGUGACUACGUACGAAUCAUGGCUUAAUGGGUGAGCAUCAGAUAGUGGCGCUGGAUGAUUGUGGAUCAAAUCCCAUUAGAGGUAGAAAGUAUACAAUAUGUUUGCUGAUUCAUUUUAUUGACGUUAUCAUUGACAGUAUACAAGCGUUUUUGUAAUUUACCUUGGUAACUUUAAAUUAUUAUAAGUGUGAACAUGUUACCCUUAAACUCCUGGUAAAAGUUGAAUCUUAAAAUGUGUGAUUCAUGGUUCAAUGGUAGAGCAUAGGAGCGGUACGCCGAAGGUUUAGGGUUCGAAUCCCAAAAGAGUUACGUUACAUUCCAAUGUAAAAAUGAAUAUCCCAGAAAAUAAAACGUUC